Molecule: long non-coding RNA, 4388 nt
Filed under: Homo sapiens (human)
Lineage: Eukaryota; Metazoa; Chordata; Mammalia; Primates; Hominidae
Description: HSALNT0186688
Source: RNAcentral
UAAGCUCCCAACAAAUGGCAGUGACCAUUGCUAUCACAGGCCUAUGGGGAGUGCCUUGAUCCAGUGGAGCCCCCACAAAUCCUGACCACAGAAAUGAAGCAUGUCCUAAGCCAGAAUGCUUUUCCAGUAUGAUGGCAAUACCUGGAUGUACAAGAAGACACAGGUUGAAUUUGGAACAAGUUCCAUAUGAAACAAAGCUCAGGCUAACAUGACAUAAAUAUGCGGAUGGAAUAAACAACCUAAUAGCAGGCUCCCUGGGCAGCUUCGUUCUCAGAAGUUAGAUGAAUCAUGUAAAACAGAAGUUUAUAAGUUUAAACGAGAUGAAAUGAGGAACAGUAGAGAAAGAUGAAGACCUUCUGCAAACAAACUCAACCAUGCUUUAUGCAGUAGACCAGAUCCAUAUUGCACAGCUCAAGAGUCCCGAGCACAAAGGGCCCAUGCAGGUGUCCAGGCAGCUGUCCCUGAAGCAGCCUCACAGAGUUUGUUGCAGCCCAGAGUUGUAGGCUAUCCGUGGAGUGUUUCCUGGGUAUCCAAGAGGAGGUCAGGCAUGACACAAAAGCCCAGGGACUGGAAGGGAUGAGAAACUGAUAGAGAAAUCUAUGUGGACCUAUGACUGAAGACCAGAUAAUAAGGGCACCUCAGCAGAUGACGACAUGGAUAAAUUGCAAAGAAGAGGAGCACGUGCCACUUUCAUCCAAACAUCCUGGCACUACACGAUUCAUCCAGAUCAUAACAACUGUCCAAGGCAAGUAAAAGUGACCCUGAAUUGACUGAAAAUAUGCUUUUGCCUUUUGUCCAAAUGAGGACUCAAAUUCAAUUUUAUAUAAAUGAAGAAAGUUACAUUAAUUGAGGCUGAGUUUAGAGAUUGAAAUUUUGUCUAAUAUAGAGUUAUUUUAAAAUCAGCACAGGAAAUCAUGAGAACCUCAGAUCCUGAAUGCCACAAGCUUUACUGGGCUGAUUUUUACAAAGGGUGAGAGAGAUUUUGCUGCCAUCUAAGCCUCUUGAGGCAGAUCAACUGGACAUUGCAGAUUUAGAAGCAAAGAAUCAGGAAAUUAAAGAGACAUUUACAUUUUCUUUUAAAGAAAUACUAUAGCUUGAAUUACCUUCUCAAUAAUGAUCUCUCCUUCUCUGAAAGGUUAUGCCACAAUGACAGCAAGUUAUUUCACAGGUUGAGGUAUUCUGUUAAACCUUGAAGAAUCUGCUUAGAAUAGAUUUGAGUUAGAAAGGGAAAAGUAUAUUAGAAUGUUUAUUAUAGAUAUUUUCCAUAUGAGUCAUACUAAAACUGCCAUUCAGUUUAUCCAUGUGUGCUCUUAUUCUAUCUCCACUUCAACCUCCAGAGUAGCUUCUUGGUUCCUUCGGUUGUACUUUCUUAUGCAUCACAAGUCAAUGUUAUCAGAAAACAUACAUACUUGAGACUUACCGUUAAAAAUGAAAUCACAUUUCUUUUCUGCAAUCACUCCAUUUUUCUACUCUCCUCCAUCCCUAUAUCUCUCAAAAGAAUGAUUUACGUACAUUUCUCUCCAUUUGCUCACCUCCCAUUUAUACUUUAAUUUUCUGCAAUCUGAUUUCUGCUCUAAGCACUUUCAAUGGAAGGGCACUAUUCCUGUGAUGAUGUCCGUGUCAAUUCAAUGGACAUUUCUCUAUCCUCAGUAUUUGUUGUGUAUUAUCUUGGCAUUACCUCUUUUCUUGGCAUUUGAGACAUCACUUUGAUUUUCCUUGAAAUUUACUAGCUGUUCCUUCCCAUUCUCUUUGGCCAGUUGCUUCUCCUGUAAUGAAUCUCCAAAUCUAUUUGGAUUAGAGCUGAAAUCUAACUCAGGGCUGAAAUGAAAAGGCUCUUAUCUUCUCUGCAUCACUUACUCAGAUAUCUCACCAUUCCCAUGGGUUUAAAUACCAUGUGAAUUCUGAUAACCCAAAAAGUUUCUUCCCAUUUAGACCUUACUUCCAAGCCCCAUACUCAUACACAAUAUUGCUUAUUUAAAUCAGACAUCUUGCAGACAUUUGCAACUUAACAAAUUCAACAUGAAAUUCUUGAUUUUUUUCCUCAAAACUGUUUCCCCAUCAGAAGCUCAGACUUCUUCUCAGUAAAAGGCACCACCAACCACUCAGUUGCUCAAAUGAGAAAUAGAAGUGUCAUUCUGGUUUUUUUGUUUCCUCCUGCCCCAUAUCCAUACGAUAGAAAGUAUUGUCAAAUCUAGCUCCAAAUAUAGCUUUUGUUUGUUUUGUUUUGUCUUGUUUUUGAGAACACGGUCUCACUCUUGUCACCCAGGUUAGAGUGCAGUGGCGUGAUCUUGGCUCACUGCAGCCUCAACCUCCUGGGUUCGAAUAAUCCUCUCACCUCAGACUCCUGAGUAGCAGGGACCACAGGUGUGUGCCACCAUGUCCAGCUAAUUUUUCUUUUUCUUUUUUUUUUUUUUUUUUUUUGUGGAGACAUGGUUUUGACAUCUUGCCCAGACUGGUCUCAGACUCCUGAGUACAAGCGAUCUGUCUGCCUCGGCUUCCCAAAGUGCUGGGAUUACAGGCAUGAGGCACCAUGACUGGCCUCCAAAUAUAUCUGAAUGAGAUUGUUUUCCUUCAUCUCUUCUUCCAUUACUACCUUACACUAGUUCACCUUCAUCUCAUUGCACGGACUAUUUUAAGUUCAGUUGAUCUCACAUCUUCCAUUUUUACCUCUCACCAAGCCACGCUCAAUAUAGCAGCAAUAAUUAUCUUGUUAAAAUAUAAAUUUUGUCUAAUGUCACUCUACCACUUUAGUGUCUUCCUGUAGCUCUCAGAAUAAAAUCUAAAGCCCUUAUAAUGAUUUGUGAGGUCCUGUUCACCUUCCCAGUUUCAACUCAUAUGACCCCUGGGCUCUGCACCAACCACUCUAGUAUCCGAGUUUUUUCCUCUUCCUGCAAAUUUGUCAAAUGACUGCUUCCUCUGCCUAGAAUGCUGUCAUCCUCUGAGCUUCAGGCUAAAUAUUAACUACUUAGCAAUUUCCUUGCCUAUCUCUCUAUUUAAAGUAGGUCUCUUUAUUUUCUUCAUUAAGCUCCUAUCCCUUAACUUUAUAACAUUUGCACUGAUUAUAACUAUUUUAUUUAUUUGUCUGUUAAUUUUUGGUAUCUCUCUCUUUCACCAGAAUAUAAGUUCCAAGUCGUAUAGAAGAUAAAUUGUGAACAUCAUGUUUCUCAUUGUAUUCCUGGAGUUUAGCACAGGGCCUAGUGCAUAGUAGGUACCCAAAAGUAAAUAUUGAUUGACUGAUAUUAUCACAGUAGAAGUAGAGUUCUUAUCCUCAUGCCUUUGUACAUGUAUAUGUAUAUGCGCCUGUAAGGGCAAAAGAGAAAAGUACAUUAACACGUAAUUAUCUACACUCACACCCAAUGAGUUAGUGGCUUGGCAGAAGUACUUUUCAUAUAAAAAUAAUACAGAGAUAACAUAUAUACAGAGAUACUCUCACUUAUCUACCUAUGGGAUUUGUUAAGGGAUGAUUUCCAAAGCUGACCUUUCUAUCUAUAAGACUGAAGAAGUGUUUAAAACCUUGCCAACCUUAUCAAAGGGAAUAAUUAAUCAGGACCUGAUAAUGUGCCAUAUUAUAGUAGAAGCAAAUUAUAUAUUUGUUAAUAGAUCUUUAUAGAUCAUGUUUUGAAUGUUCAUUUGAAUUUUCUUUUUUCAUUUGAAAAUGACUUACUUCAAGUUUUGGGCCAGUGCUUAGAGGUUUACAUAUCUAUUUGUGUGCUAUAUGAGAGUACGUGAUCUUCUCUGAUGAUAAAAUUUCCCAGCGCAUCUUUUUCUCCAUGAUAUUAGUUUCUUGUGAGUAUGAAAUUUAUUCUAAAUGACUUUCAGGCCACUUCUCACCAUAACCAAUGAAAAGGAAAAUUAUCUGUUGCCACCAGAAAACAUAUUUGCUUAUAUCCUGCAUGGCCAGGUCUCUAGCACCCAGCAUCCGCAGAGGGUCUCCCAUCUCAAUACUUAUCCUGUUAGAGUUCUAUGAUGGUUAAUUUUAUGUAUCAAUUUGACUGAAUCAUGGUACUCAGGUAUUUGGCCAAACAUUAUUCUACAUGUUUCUGUGAAAGUGUUGUUUACAUGAGAUUAAUAUUUAAAUCAGUAGACUUUCAGUAAAGCAGAUCACCCUCCAUAAUGUGAGUUGGCCUCAUUCAAUCCAUUGGGGGCCUUAAUAGAAAAAGACUGGCCUCCCCUAAAGAAGAGGAAAUUCAGCCAGCUGCCUCCCUUCAUCACUUAAACUGCAUCAUUUCUUCCCUGGGUCUCCAGCUUGACGAUCUACACUGCAGAUUUUGGACUUGCCAAGCCUCCACAAUAGUGUGCCCCAGAAGAGCAAGUGGGGCUAUUGAUCUGGUGCUACAUGCGCAGGAAGGCUCCAGUUCACAUGCCUGAACCCGUUACCCUGCUUUGUC